Molecule: ribosomal RNA, 323 nt
Filed under: uncultured Prevotella sp.
Lineage: Bacteria; Pseudomonadati; Bacteroidota; Bacteroidia; Bacteroidales; Prevotellaceae
Description: partial 16S ribosomal RNA
Source: RNAcentral
GGAGUUUGGACCGUGUCUCAGUUCCAAUGUGGGGGACCUUCCUCUCAGAACCCCUACUGAUCGUCGCCUUGGUGGGCCGUUACCCCGCCAACAAGCUAAUCAGACGCAUCCCCAUCCAUUACCGUUGAAAACUUUGGUCUCGCUUAGAUGUCUGCACGAGACCGCAUCAGGGAUUAAUCCAGUUUUCACUGGGCUAUACCUGAGUAAUGGGCAGGUUGGAUACGCGUUACUCACCCGUGCGCCGGUCGCCGUCGUACUGGUGCAAGCACCUGUACACGCUGCCCCUCGACUUGCAUGUGUUAAGCCUGUAGCUAGCGUUCAUC